This 321-nucleotide unclassified non-coding RNA is filed under the name Simplicillium sp. Its description in RNAcentral is "partial contains 5.8S ribosomal RNA, internal transcribed spacer 2, and large subunit ribosomal RNA". The stretch from base 1 to 71 matches the Rfam family "5.8S ribosomal RNA", at positions 84 to 154 of the family's 154-position model. The record is from RNAcentral. RNAcentral also lists the same sequence under 1 other name. Lineage: Eukaryota; Fungi; Ascomycota; Sordariomycetes; Hypocreales; Cordycipitaceae.
GUGAGUCAUCGAAUCUUUGAACGCACAUUGCGCCCGCCAGCAUUCUGGCGGGCAUGCCUGUUCGAGCGUCAUUUCAACCCUCGAGCCCGACUCUUUUGAGGACGGCUCGGCGUUGGGGGACGGCAGACUCCCCCCGGCAUCUCGCCGGGGACGCCGCCCCCGAAAUCUAGUGGCGGCCCUCCGAGGCGACCUCUGCGUAGUAACUUGUUCUCGCACCGGAAAGCUCAGAGCGGCCACGCCGUAAAACCCCAACUUUUUUCAGGUUGACCUCGAAUCAGGUAGGACUACCCGCUGAACUUAAGCAUAUCAAUAAGCGGAGGA